UACGUAGGGGGCAAGCGUUGUUCGGAAUUACUGGGCGUAAAGGGCGCGUAGGCGGCCUGCUAAGUCGAACGUGAAAUCCCUGGGCUCAACCCAGGAACUGCGUCCGAUACUGGUUGGCUUGAAUCCGGGAGAGGGAUGUGGAAUUCCAGGUGUAGCGGUGAAAUGCGUAGAUAUCGGGAAGAACAUCAGUGGCGAAGGCGGUCUGCUGGGCCGUUGCUGACGCUGAGGCGCGACAGCGUGGGGAGCAAACAGG
This 253-nucleotide ribosomal RNA is filed under the name uncultured bacterium. Its description in RNAcentral is "partial 16S ribosomal RNA". It matches the Rfam family "Bacterial small subunit ribosomal RNA", at positions 524 to 776 of the family's 1533-position model. The record is from RNAcentral.